CCCUUUCUCUCUCGUACUAACGAGACAAUUACUAUUGUUGACCUAAUUCCCCCUAUUGCAACCUUAGGCGAUAGUCGUGUUCCUUGAUUGAAGAAGGGUUGUGAAGAACCGACGUCUCUGUGAUUUAACAUGGUAUCAAUCGGAAACGACGCAACCUGGACAACACUUCCCCAAAGUUAUGCUCUGAUAGCUCUAGAAAUGCAGAGCAAUUUUCCAAGGAAUCUCUGUCAACUUCAAGUUCCAAAGAAGAAAAAUUCUUCCGGUCAUCAAGAAGGAAAGAAUGAAGAUCAAUCAACAAAAAGAGAAAAUAAUCAAAUAGCAAAAAAAAUUCAUGGAAAUCUCCUUUCUUCUUGUCUGUUGGUAAUCAUCCAGGGGCUCAACUAGUGGUUGAUAAAUUGACAGGAGAAGACAAUUAUGUUGCAUGGGAAAACUCCAUGAAGCUAUCACUGGUUUCAAGAAAGAAGACAACAUUUAUCAAUAGAAAAAUCAAGAAACCAUUUGAUGAAACAUGGGAAGAAUAUGAAGAAUGGGAGAUGGUCAAUGAGCUAGUGCUUUUUUGGAUAAUAAAUGGGAUAGCUUCAACUUUCAUACACACUGACACAACCUACGAAGCAUGGUUUGAGCUUUAAGAAAUGUAUAAACUGAAAAAUGCACCCAAUUUAGGUAUGAAAUUAAUACCAAACUUAAAUUAGUCAAGAUUAGACCAAACUUAAAUUAAUCAAUAAAUUAAUUAAAUUAAAGGUUUAAAUCAAAGUCAAGAUUGGAAUUGGUACAAUUGUAUAAAACACCUUGAAUAUAAUAAUUAUUGCUAUUUUAUCUAAUACUUUAUUCAAGGUACAAUAUUCCAUGAGCAAAAGAUACUAUUUACAAAGGAAUCUUCUCAAGGGGACAAAAGAUAGCUUGGAUGAAAUUCACUAUUAACAAAAGAAAGCAUCCACUAUUCAUAAAAGAAUCUUCCCAAGAAAAGAGAAGACAAGUUUUGGAAUCAUGUGAGGAAUUAAGGAACCAUCCAAUGAAGAUCCAAGGGUGGACAAGCAAUGACCAAGGUUAUAAAUAAAGGGGUAUCCCCUCCAUUUUCGUCUACCACACUUCAAGCAUUUCAAAGAGAUUUCACUCCACAUUUGAGAUCUACAAAGUGUUCUUGCUUCCAAACUUCCAAAAGUUCCCAAAUGUUCUAACUUUUCAAAAGCUUCAAAAGCUCUCCAACUUCUACUUCUAAUCUUCUUGUUCAUCUUCUCAAGUAAGAAGUUUUGUGUGCUUAAUAUUCCACUCCUCUAAUCAUCUAUUGUGUGUGUCCACUUUGGUUGAGAGGUUUGUCUCAAUAUCACCAAAGUAUAAGAGAAAGUUUUUGAUCUCAACUAUAAAGCUCUAUGUUUGGUUCUAUAAAGUUUCCUGGAAAACUCUUAGGUCGAAUCUAUUUUGAAAGUCUUUUAGGUUUUUAAGAGUUCCUUAAUACUCUAAUGUGUGAGUCUACCCGUAAAAGACUGGUUCCUAAGCGAAGUUAGUCUUAAAGCUUAAAGAGAUUUUUAAGAGUUUUCUUGAUACUCUAAGGUGUAAGUCUACCCGUAAAAGACUGGUUCCUAAGCGAAGUUAUUCUUAAAGCUUAGAGAGGUUUUUAAGAGUUUCCUUGACACUCUAAGGUUUUUCCAUAACCUUUAGACUAGUGAACUCCGAUAGUUUGUCGGGACUGGAUUAGCCAUUGUUUGGAUAAACCAUUAUAAAUUCUCUUGUGUUGCUCUUUGUUAACUUUAAUACUUAUCUAUUAUCUAAAAUCAACUAAACAACAAAACGAUACUUAAUUGAAAAAGAUCCCUCUUUUAGUUAUUUGGUCAAGAAUAGAGGUUGACUAUAUUCCACAGGCUUUGUCGAGCAACUAAUCUCGAAGGGAGAACUUAGCAACUUAAUUCGUUAAGAGACCCCGAGGAUGAGACAAUUGCAAAUAUAACACUAAGGGAAAGAUUCCACAUUCUCUUUCACCAGAUAGCGACAAUAGCGAGAACCGCCAACGGAAGACCAUCAAUAUGAUAUUUGGUGGUGGUUUUGUUGGCUAGAACAGGGGAUACGCCUAGAAGGUGCUGAUGUCGCAAUCAACACCUCGAGACAACGGAAAACGGGUCCGCGAAAAGAAGUCAAUAUACUUCUCAGAAGAGGACCUGGACGAUGUUCUGCAACCUCAUGAGGAUCCACUCGUGAUCCAAGCAGACAUCGGUCCCGAUUCCCGAGUCGAGAGGAUGAUUGUCGAUACCGGCAUUUCUACGGAUAUCCUCUACAUGGAUACUUUCACCAAAAUGGGCCUUAAAAGGGAGGAUUUAUCUCCUUGUAAGGAAGCCAUUUAUGAGUUCACUAACAUCGCCGCCCCAGUGGCCGAAGUUAUAUAUCUGAAAGUUUCCAUCGGCUCCAGGCGAGGGAGGGUUAGUCGGAUCAGUUAUUCUCGAUUAUCCAAACUAUCAAAAGAAAAAUUAGUGACUGGACUUCCUAAAAUAUCAAGAAGGAUCGAAGAAGGAUCCAUAGGGGAAGAUCCCCGACCGAGGAAUACUCAGGGGACGAAAGAACCUAGGCCCACCAUCCUGGGAAACACGACAAAAGAUCCUAGGUCGAGGAAUCAUCGAAAGGGUGCCAGGACCAGACCUCUCGUCAGAAAUAGCAGGACCAGACCCCGACCAGCGAAGUCACACAUCAGCUGCUCCUGGCGAUCGCUGGCCUAAAGAAAACCAAAAACAACUGUAGGAAUAAAUAUUCCGAAUGGUGGGAAAUAAGGUGCCCAAGGAGAAAUUCCUCUGACCCCUCGAGAAGAGGGAGGGGGCCCUAGUACCACAUCUCGGAAAGGAAGCCUACCCUACGGGAUGGAAGGCGCCCCGCCUGACGAUGUACUUUGUGACCACCUCCACUCGUUUUGCAUAGGAAUGGAGGGCAUGACCACCCGGAGGGACAUAUGGUGCCGCAUGUCCCGGAGAACUUUGCUCAGAGAUGCGAUCGAAUGGUAUCGAGGCUUCUCCCGCAUAGCAUACAUACGUUCGAGGAUCUCGAAAGGUUACAUUGUUCCGUGUGGCCUUCGCUUUCCGCACUCGUCGAAAGUAGGAGAUAACAACCCUACUGACAGUGUCACAGGGAGAUGGGAAGACCCUCAAGGACUACAUGAAUCGGUUCUCGACGGCUGUCCAAGACCAAGAGGAAUCAGAUGAGUCAUCCAUAAUGAUGGAUCUGUUGAACGGCCUGAGGGGAACACAUUUCCCGAUCAAACUCAUUGACAAUAAGGUCAAAACCAUCUCUGAGACCAUGCACCGAGCCCAGGGAGCCAUAAACAUAGAGGAAUUUCUGGUCCCAAAGUUUAAACAGGCUCUGCAAAGACAAAAGGGAAAGGUCGGUGAAUAAGGUCCCAAAUAGCAUAUUGCAACAGGUGUAACCUUCUACGAGGCAACCCCAACUUAAACCAUAGAGCAAGGGAAGGGCUACGAACACAGAACUCCAGAAGCCAGCAGAAUCCGUUCAAAACCAAAGGGAAGUCUUCCUAUCGUUGAAAGAAGCAGACGUCCUCUCGGAAGUGCGAUCAAUGAGAGUUGAAUCGACUGCAUACCACAAAAAUAUGAAGUACUGCAAAUACCACCAGGACUCGAGCCACACAAUAGCGGAAUGUAGAAACCUGGCAAAGGCCAUCGACCAAAUAAAAAAUCCGAAAAAAGGCCCCUGCCCGGCAUCCGUCCCGAGACCGACUAUCAUACAAAUCGGCCAAAAAACCCUAAGGUGGAGCCGGACGAGCCAGAGGUAGGGGACAUAUUUGCCAUAUGGAGGGGGGGACCUCUUGGACCUAGGACCCUACGGAGGCCCUUCGUUACACCACGAACACAACAAGAGAGGCCACAGGGAGAAGAGGAAGCCCGCGGAGGAGAUAUCAUUCACGGAUGCGGACCUCGCGGAUAUAACAACAUCGCACUACAAUCCACUGGUAAUCAUGUCGAUUCUUAGAAGAAAAAGCGGUGGCCAGGCCAGGCUGUACAGAGUACUAGUCGACACCGGUGCCUUAGUAGACAUAUUAUACUGGAAUGUGUUUAUACAACUCAGGCUAGGCGAUCAGAACCUGAGGCCAUUUCACGCCCUGUUGCGGGGAUCCUGGUAGCGAGCAUAAUCAUGGUCCCCGUAACAUUGGAUAAAUGAGGCCAAGCAACGACGGUGCAAGUAAAGUUUACCGUUGUAUGAAUGAAUUCAGGAUACAACGUCAUACUAGGAAAGGCCACCUUGCACGCUUUCCAUGCAGUUAUGUCAUCCUGGCACCAAUGCCUGAAGUUCCCGGUAGCAACGGGGAUAUGUACGGUAAAAGGGUCGCAGAGAACAGCCCGAGAAUGCUACAUGAACUCAACUGCAGAGGUCUUAGCGGCCUCUAGAGAAACGAUGGACUACCCCACACCACAAAGGAGAAAGUACACAGGCCCGAACCGGCGUCCUCUACGGAUGAAGUCAGCCUGGGCAACAUAACCAUAAGGAUAGGGACUUAGCUUCAUCCAGAACUACAAACAGGGCUGAUAGAACUGCUCAGAAAAAACAAGGACUUGUUCGCGAGCGAGUUAAAAUACCUCAAAGGAAUAGCCCGACCCGCACUUCAGCGGAACACAAGCUCAAAUUAGCCCCGAAAAAUGUGCCCGCUCCGGGCCGAAAGAAAGGAGGCAGCUGACGCCGAGGUCGAAAAAUUACCCAGGACUCAGUUCAUACAUCCGGUACGGUACCCAGCGUGGCUGGCUAAUAUAGUCAUGGUCAAAAAGGCCAACUCAAUGUGGAUAAUGUGCGUUGACUUCACAAAUUUGAAUAAAGCGUGCCCGAAAGACAGCUACCCCCUCCCGAUUGUAGACCACCUAGUGGAUAAGAGUUCAGGGUUAGCGGUACUAAGCUUUAUUGAUGCACACUUCGGAUACAACCAAAUACCCAUGGCCAAGGAGGACUAGGAAAAGACAUCAUUCAUAACGGAACGGGGAAUGUUCUGCUUUGGAGUGAAGCCCUUCGAACUCCGGAAUGCGGGAGCAACGUUCCAAAGAUUCAUGGACCAAAUAUUUGCGAACCAGAUAGGAGAGAAUGUGGAGGUGUACGUAGAUGAUAUUAUGGUCCGGUCUAAGAAAGAGAAAACCCAACUAUCCGACCUCGAGGAAAGCUUCACUAACAUCCGGAGGGUAGGCUUGCGGCUAAAGGCCAAGAAGUACACAUUCGGGGUAACCGAAGGGCAUUUCCUCGAUUAUAGGAUCACGCCGGAGGGAAUCAAACCUUAGGUAGAGAAGAUAGAGGCGGUCCUGGCGAUGGUCUCACCAAAGAUAAUCAAGGAAGUACAGAGGUUGAACGGUCGAGUCGCGGCACUCAACCGAUUUUUACCUCGGGGAGCGGACCGGCGCCGUCCAUUCUCCCAACUUUUGAAAUCUGCAUCACGAAAGGUGGUAUGGUCGGAAGAGUAUACCCAAGCAUUCGAAGAAUUGAAGGCACAAUUAGCGAGCCUUCAAACCUUGCAGCCCCCGGUACCGGACGAACCACUAUCUAUGUACGUAACCAGCUCGGAAUACGUCAUAAGCGCGGUGUUAGUACUGGAUGCAAGGGAACAAUAGAAACCAGUCUACUACUACUCCAGGGCUCUAUAGGGAGCAGAGACAUGGUAUUCAACCUUGGAAAAAUUAGAAUAUGCAGUGGUCUUGGUGUCGCGGAGACUCUAUUCGUAUUUCCAUGCGCACACAAUCCUAUAGAUUCUGCACAAAGCUGAUAUCUCAGGACGACUGACAAUGUGGGUCGUGGAGCUAAAAGGAUUCACCAUUAACAUCGUACCAGAGAAGGCCAUAAAAGGACAAGAGAUAGCGAAGUUCAUGGCCGAACUACACCUGAGCCCGGUGGAGGCGAUUCCCAACGAACCAAUCCUAUGGAAAAUUUACGUGGACGGAUCCUUAGAGGCAACCGGGUACGGAUCCGGUAUGGUCCUAUUCUCCCCAACAGGUGAAAGAAUAGACCACGCGGUCCACACUUCGAAUUUCCCGUUAACAAAUAAUGUCGCGGAGUAUGAAACAGUAAUAUCAGCCGCGAAGUUAGCGGGAGCUCUAGGAGCUGCAGACAUAGUAAUCCAUACAGACUCCAAACUAGUAGCAAAUCAAAUCCCGGGCAGAUUUCUAUCAAAAGAGGACUCUAUGUCUGUGUACCUAGAGGUGGCCCAAGCCGCUCUAGAGAGUUUCGCGACGUGGGAAAUCGUACACAUAGGUCGGGGAGACAAUAUGGAGGCCGAUGCAUUGGCACGACUAGGGGUUGCAUCAUGCCCGAAAGGAGGGCGUUGGGUUAAAAUUGAAACACAAGCAAGCCCAGCGGCCCAAUCAAUCUGCGCGAUCAACCAAAUCACAACGGAUCCGGACUGGAGGGAUCCUAUCAAAAGAUACAUCAACGGAGGAGAAGUACCCCGGGACCCGAUGGAAGAAAGAAAACUACGUGCCCAAGCAGCUUGGUUUCUAGUAAUGGGGGGCGAGUUGUACAAGCGAUCUACCAGGAGUCGGUCCCACUCCAAGCGUGCGUACUCUGUGGUGAAGCAAAAGAAAUUGCAUCAAGUUUCCACAAGGGUUCUAACGGAGUUCAUCAGGGUAGAAAAGCCCUAACCAAACAGAUAUCCAGGAAAGGAAAUUAUGGGCCGGAGCUGCACCAGGAUGCUAAGAAAGAAGCCCAGUAUUGCGACAAUUACCAACGGCACACGAAUAGGCAGCGACUGCCAUCCUAUGAGAUCCGUGCAUUCAUAACUCCGAUCCCCUUCAUCAGGUGGGGCCUAGACAUAGUCGGUCCUUUCCCACGGACCUCAGGGGAGGAUGUACCUUUUCGUAGCGGUCGAUGCAAAUUAUCUAGGUCGAUGUGAUUGGUCAGGGUGAAUGGAAACAAGGAUUAUACUUCCUAAAUCUAGCAAAAUCAUAAGUAUGUGCAAAUCAAGCUGCAGAUUACAAAACUUGGCAUCUGAGACCAGGUCAUUUAUCUCCACAAAAAUUACGAAUUUUAAUAAAUACAUGUAAUGAUUUUAGAAUAUGCUGUAAAAAUAAUAUAGCUGAUCAAUUUUCAGAUCAAACGUGUAAUAAUAAUACACUUGUUUUAAAUAAUAAUUUUGUUUUUCAAAAUAAAAAUAAAUCUCAUGAAAUUACAGAAAUAAUAAUAAAAUUUCUGAAAAUAAAAAUAAAAUAUCUUUUUUAGAAUGUGAAAUCUGACCGUUUGCUAAACAAACUAAAAUAAAAUACACAAAGAGUAUAUGCAAACAAAAGAUAUCUGUGAAUAUAUGGAGAAAAUCCCCAAUAAACACUCAUGAUGAUCACAAUUAUUUCCUAACUAUAGUAGGAUAAUAUGGGUCUAUUUAAUACUGAUGAUACCCUCGGCCCACUAUAUGUGGCCCAAGGAACACAACAGUAACUUACCCCAUGACCCAGGCCCGACAAGGAUCCGACCCGGGUCAAACCUGAGGCAGAGCCAACUAGGAUACGGGUCGAUCCCACGGACCCGAUCCGACUAAGAUGGAAUCAGAAAGGAGCGAAGGAAGUUCGGAAGGGCGGAAAACUUCCCUCCCCGUAGGGGGAGACAUUGGGGCUGAACCAGCCAGAUCAGCGCUACUACAGAGAGGGAGGCAUCAAGGGAAUUACACUAGCGCUCGAAGCCACCGCCACGAAAGAUCCUGAUCUCCUAUCAUCAGGAGGGAUCAGAAAAGGACCCACCGGGGAAGGUCACCUACAAAAGAAUCCUCGGAAGACGUACGGGCCUGGUCCCACCACCCAAGGAAACACAACAAGAGGGCCCUGGCGGAAGAGUCAUCAGAAAGGUGCAAAGACCUCACUUCAUGCCGGGAAUGACCAGAUAGAACUCCGGCCAGCGAGGUCACACAACAAACUCAUGGCUAUCACGGGCUUUCAAGAGAACCAGAAGCAGCUGCAAGAGCAUACAUAUAUCCCAAAUGGCGGGAGGUAAGGAGCCCGAGAACAACUUCCACUCAUUCCACACGGGGAUCGACAUGACCAACCAGAGAGACAUAUGGUGUCGCAUGUUCCGAAGGACACUGAUAGGCAACGUGAUCAGCUGGUACCGAGGCCGCCCCCCACAAAAUAUACACGUGUUCAAGGACCUCGAGAGGUUGUUCUGCAUAGCAUUCGCUUUCCGUACUCGACGAAAGAAGGGAGUAACGACCCUACUGGUAGGUAGUGUCACAAGGGAUGGUGAAACCCUCAGGGACUACAUAAACCAAUUUGCCAUGAUGGUUCAGGACCUAGAGGAGACAGAGGAGCACGUUUUGCAGUCGAACUCAUCGAUCACACGCUUUCUUAGUCCCUUAAUUCCUAUACUUACUACAUUUCUUAUUUUUUGCAUUUUGCUUAUAGAUCCUCACCUUUUUUCUAUAUUUUCUUUUAAUUUUCAGUUAUUAUUGUUAACUCCACCUCCACUAAUUACAUAAAUGAAAAUUAAUGACCCAUAAUUUAGUAAUUAUAUCACCAUUAAUAACAUAGAUGUAGAUUAGUGGCCCAUAGUAGUCGGUGACGUCAAACGUGGUCAACCCCUAUAAAUAUGUAAUAUGAAGUUCAAUGGGAGGAUAACAAGUUUUAUUCUAUGCACUGUAGUGACUUAGCCGUCGACUUCUCUAAUACAAUGAUAAAUUCCAUCUAGGAUCGUCGGGAAUGUGUGGCCGAUCUUGAAAUUGAGCAGUCAACGGCUAAGUUACUGGAGUGCAGGUGGCGACUGAUUUUUGGGAGAUUGUGUGUGAAAACGGAGAGAGUUAAUAGAGGAUUGGUUGUACAGACAAUAGAACAAUGAAAAUUGUAUUCCAUCCAAUAAUUAGAUAGUUGAUUACAUUCCUUUAAAUAUGAUUAGCUAUAAGAUAUUAUUCGUAACUAAAACAACUGAUGAAGCACAGGAUCUAACAUAGAGUUAAGUAUUGCAAAAUCUAACAUAGAGUUUAUUUUUAAUUCUCUAGCAAGAUUUAAAUGCCAACAAAGAAAAAACAUGUGUCCAAUUUCAACAACCAUCGUAUCUAGAAAACCCAUAAUUUGCUAAUGCUAAUUUAGUAAUCGAUCUAUAAACCACCAUUCAAGGUUAAUUAUUUUUAAUCCUCUACCAAAAUUUAAAUACCAACAAAGAAAAAAAAUAGGUUUUCAAUUCUAACUGCAUGUUAUCAGGAAAACCCAUCAUUUGCUAAUGCUAAUUUAGUAAUCAAUUUAUGAACCACCAUUCAAGGUUAAUUAUUUUUAAUCCUCUACCAAAAUUUAAUUGUCAACAAAGAAAAAAAUAGGUUUUCAAUUCCAACUGACUGUUCAUCAAACUUGUUAUCUCGACCACCAAAGAAACAAUUACUGAGAGAACCAACAUAGUAUACGAAAUGAUUGCAUUUUAUGUGACAAUAUAUCUAUAUACCCUGUUGAUUGAUUCAAAUACAUCGUAUGUCAUCCCGACAUCGAAAUCGAUUACCAUGGUGUUCUUUCCUGUCCUACAUAUGCUUAAAAUGAAUUGGGCAAUAUAAAAAAUGGAUACAAAAUCCAGGUGUGAUACUAAUACCAUGUGAGGAUUUAGUCCAAUCGAAUGAAUAUUAUUUAUUCAGAUAAUCGGUGACCAACUAAUAGAUAAACUUCAACUACGAGUCCCCUUUUAUGUGCGUCGGAAGACGUCAUCUACGCCGGAGAUCGCACCACAGUUUAAGAUCGACGAAUACCAGAAGAAAAAUGGCUCUAAAACAAUUACAUUUACAACAUGAGCUAAAAUGCCAUCUCCAAAAAAUACUAUACCAGUCCUCUUCCGUUAUGCUAACAUAUUCCUGAUUCGACAUAGUAGGAUUUUUUUAUCUAUAUAUAGUAGUCUGCAAAUUGCAGAACCAUUGUUCCAACUAUGCAGCAGAACUACAAGUUUUAGAAUCAAAUAUGGGCACGUUUGGUACUAUGAUAAUUUGAAAAAACAACAAAUCUUAAAUUCAGACAUAACUUUUGAGUUUUGACACAACAAUCAUUAUCCUUUGAUUUUGCUUGGUUUUUUCAGUUUAGCCACUUCUGAAAAAUUCUCUUUCAUAAAUUACAAUCUGAAGUAUUUAAACUGUCUUAAUGUCCGAUCAAAUUAAUACGACGAGUAGUAAUAAUAGUGUGGAUUUGGGGAAAAUGUCGAUAAAAAAAUCAUAUUUUCAGGAAACUAUACACAAAAUGGAAAAUUAGGGCAAAAUAAAACUCCGAUAUUUUAGCAAAAUUAGGGCAAAAGCAAAACCCAUCAUUAGGGCAAAAUUAGGGCAAAAUAAAAACCUUGUACCUCAAACAACUUUCGUGACAAAACUCAAAGUUCUUGACAUGGAUCUUUUCUUUUACCUUCGAGGUAUCGUAUGGAGAACUCUCUCUCUUUCCACACAUUCAUCUCUUCUUGACGUUGUUUCCUCUUCUUUAUUACCUUUGGAUUUCCAUUUGUCAACACAACUGAAAGAUUAAAUAUAUAUUAUCAGAAUCAUGGAUAUUUCUUCAUUU
This 10460-nucleotide long non-coding RNA is filed under the name Zostera marina. RNAcentral describes it as "long non-coding RNA (ZMAR_LNC001528)". Lineage: Eukaryota; Viridiplantae; Streptophyta; Magnoliopsida; Alismatales; Zosteraceae. The record is from RNAcentral.